GACGAACCGUGCAAACGUUAUUCGGAUUCACUGGGCUUAAAGGGCGCGUAGGCGGGUGGUCAAGUCAGGGGUGAAAUCUUUCGGCUCAACCGGAAAAGGGCCUCUGAUACUGGCCAUCUCGAGGGAGGUAGGGGCAUGUGGAACUUCCGGUGGAGCGGUGAAAUGCGUAGAUAUGUGGAGGAACACCGAUGGCGAAGGCAGCCCCCUGGGAUGUGACUGACGCUCAUGUACGAAAGCGUGGGGAGCAAACAGG
Molecule: ribosomal RNA, 253 nt
Filed under: uncultured bacterium
Lineage: Bacteria
Description: partial 16S ribosomal RNA
Rfam family: Bacterial small subunit ribosomal RNA
Source: RNAcentral